CUCAUAUAGUUAAGGAUUGAAUCCAUAAAAGCCACAAAAAGCCACGCAGCACAAGGGAACUCAACGAUGGGUAAACAGACAAAGAAGGAAAUCAGAGAGCAGGGGGAGGAUGCUGGACUUGCUCUCACAGAUUCAUCUGGUCUUGGCAACUUCACCCGCAUGCUGCAGGUUUCGGUUGGUCUCCAGGAAUAAAAGGUGUUCCAAUCACACAUGAAGCACCCACUUUGGGAACACUCAUAGACACCCCAGGAAUCCCUGUGACAUUGGCAACUUCUGUUUUCCCCAUAGGUGGAGAGACUGGCGGUACUCACGUGUUCCAGGCUCUGGAGAGGCCUUGUGAAUAAUGAGACAGCUACAUACCUGCUAGCAAGAGGCCAGAAGUUCAGGAGGAAAAAGAUAACAAAUAUCUGGCAACACUUAUUUACCCCUGGUUGUGACAUGUGUCACAGAGGAAGGAACUACGGCAAUCAACACACACCUUCGCGGGCCUCACUUCUCAAGGGGCCCCUCCCAGGACCGCUGAUCCUUAAAGGCACUCCUGGAGAUGCAUGCUCUUGUUUUCAGACCCUUCCCACUUGGGGACAGGUCCCCCUGCCCCAGGGUCUGCAGACUUCUCUUUAGAUAUGCUAUGGUGGCAGGGAAGUGGUGCAGAAGAUUCACUGUGUGGUGUGGUCCCUCCAGGACCAGGGAGUCCAGAUCUGCUUGCAGCUUCAUCUGAAGUGUUUUGUUUAGUCUCAAGCGUGGUCUCAAGUGUUUGGCUCUAAAUGAGGUGCGAGCACGUUUUCUAGCCUUGCUUCCAGGUAGGUACUCCUGCCCACCAGUGCUUGUUCAUCUGCUGUGACAGUCAAUUUUAAAACGCAGAUUUGAGCACCCAGUCCAGAGGUACCUGCUCAGGACCAGAGCAGAGUCAUGGAUGUCAGACCAGAGAUGGAGUAGCCUUCAUCAGCUCCACCAGACUCAGUUUACCAGUUUUUGUCAAGUGAAGUUUCUCAUGGGUAAAAGGGGGGCAAUGUACAGAAAAUACCACCUGAAGCUUUGCGCAGACAAGUGCCAGCCAUUUUUCACAGAUCUUGAUGGUUUGGAAUUCCUCAUGGAGAAUGUGAUGCCUACCACCAGUCGACAGGAAACAGAGAGUCUCUGCAUUCAUGGAGCUUGGGAAGAUUCUCAACUUCAGACAGGCCAAGAGGAAAAGAAGAGGAAGUGAGCCUGUCCCACCUCUACCAGUCAGUUGUCACGGUGAAAGGAGGUGCUUGUGGGUAAACUGAGAAAAUCAGGCUAAGCUAGAGAGAGUGCCGUGGGUAGCUGGGUUUCUGCUUUGAUAUCUUCCAAUGAGACUCCGGGAAGCCAAGUCUCAUGUCAACGUGAAGUUUCUUACCAGAAUUUUUUUUUUCUAGUCAUUUCAUAGAGUUAACACAUCGCAGAAGUUAUCGGAGGCUGACACAGUGACCCGAGCGACUAGGUGUGGUGAGCAAAUGACGUAUUUAAUAUGAAAGACUGGCUGGGAGAUAAUAGGAGUUCUUUAAAGAGCAAAGCCACGGUUAACUUUUCAACUCUAACAGCAAGUGAGAGUCAGACAAUUAAACGGGGAAGCCAUGCACAAAUGUCACACACAGAGGAGAUCAAAGACGACUGCAGUCUCUGAUAAAGAUCAAGAGAGACAACUUGGAUUUUUAUAGCGUUUCCUAACAAAUGGCUGAAGUGGGAAAGAAAGAAAGGAAAGAAAAACACAGCGGGUAAUUUGAUUUCUCAAUAUGCCUGCAGACUGCCCCAAGAUGUUGUAGAGAUCAAAGGCUAGCCUUGGCAACAAAAUGCCACCCGGAAUGGCAUGUUCUUUGUUUGCAUUACUAUUUCAGGAGGGGCAAUUUGUAUUUCAGCCCAUGUAUCAAGUUUGGGGGUUUGUGUGCGAGCGUCAAGAGAGGUCGGUCAGCUGACUAGUAGACGCUAAGGCCUACGGGGCUUGGGUCUGACAGUCCGGUUGCACAGUGCCUCAGGCCCUCCCGUACCAGAAGCACUGCUGCUUACGCAGGCGUGACGUUAUGCAGCAGUGAGGCCGGUUACUAUCCCCAAUACUUUUCCAGGAACAUCCUCUCUUCGAAUUAUACCUGCAUCUGCAGCCUAUGUGCACACAUGUGUGUAAAGUAUUGCAGUGGACACUGUGUUUGUAAACUGUCGUGUGUUGCUUAAGCUUGCUGCAGUGAUGGUUCUGGAAGCAGGCUAGACGCUCCUAUUUCAGACUCACACAUAUUUGUCUUGAAGUGUCCUCCGAACACCCCUGUCUCGGGUCAGGUUGGCACCCUGACUCCGCACCAGGCAGAGCGGAAAGAGCCAACAGAUAGAGUAGUGAAGGCAGUUUGUCCCUGAGUAGAGCCAGAAAGGUAAAGCAUUCCUAAAAGACGUUGCUAUUGUUUCUCCCACCAUCCAGAAGUGCCUGAGAAAUGGAAAGCUGAAAGUUCAUCCUCGGAGAGAAAGCUCCACUGCGAACUCCAGAUGAUGGCUUCGACUUCUCUGGUUGUUUCUGCUGUGUGUUCUAAGCCCCCAGUUUGAUGCUGUAACCUUCAUUUGCUCUCUCACUUGGCUCCUCCAGUCAUUUCUGCUGGAUGUUACAAACUCCUGUUUUGGUGAUUUGUAGCUAUCUUAUCUGCUGCUUCUCUCUAUCAGCUACUGGCUGCUUAUUCUUUACUUUUGCCUUAAAUACUUAAUGAAAUCAUUCAACAGUGUAGCUGUCAUAGAUCAUUCUCCAGACCUUAUAAAACAACUAUAUACAUACCAACUAUAUACUGAAAACUGGAUACCUGUCUUGAUCUACCCAAAUGCAUAGACAUUUAAUGGCCAUAGAUUAAGAUAUCUACAAGGGUAUCUUAGGAUCCUUCUGGAAUUUGGCAUAAUGUAGUGAGUGACAUCAUUCAUGAAAGGUAAGCUGUCUUUCCAUUUCUCACAUUUGGUUACCAUUAUAUUAUUUAUUGUUAUUUUUGUAUAAUUUACCAAUUCAUCUAGGUAGCCAUCGAGAGGCAUAAUAAUACAGUUAAUGUUUUACACAAAUAAUUAUCCUUCAAAUGGAAGUUAGUAAGUGGAUUACGAAUGAAUCCAAGAAUGUUUUGGCAGAUAUCCGUGGGAAGCUGCACUGGGAUCAAAUCCAUGGUAACGAAGCAAGGUAUUCUGGCUGGGGAAUUGAUGGUAUGUUUGAAAAGCUUAAUAAGCACUGAAAUUGUUUAUAUUGUUUAUUCCAGAAAGGCGAAUGGAGAAGUUUAAUCAGAUAUCAAGUAGCUGGAAAUUAAAUGAAAUAGAUCAGAAAUAGAGUUUCUGUAAUCAGAAUAUUUAUUUCCCAGCAGUCCACAGCUGCAACAGAGAAUAAUGCCCAAUCUCUUGUAAGGUGUCCAGCAAACAAAAGAGUGCCACUUACUAUUGUUGACUGUGCUCCUGUUGGGUGUGAUUUAGAGUCUUGGGAGCUUUGCUGGCUCCCCUCUGGCUGCAGUCCUGGAAGCGGCACAGCGGGUGGGGAGGCAGGCUGUGAUUCCCACUAAGUCCGCCUUCCCUAAGUCCUUCUGUGGGGCUUCUGUUCUUUAUUAUACGCGUUCUCAAGGGCACAUUUUACUCAACCCUAAAUGCCUUCCCUACACUUAUUCUAAAUGACUUUUUGCUGGAGAAGGCAGCGGGAUGAACUUCCACGGAGCCAUCACUCAGCUUCAACAGUUAUUGGCACUUGGCAAGCUUUACAGCAGAUUCCUUUCUCUGUUUUUAUUGCAUUGAAAGAUGCAUGGCAUGCCACUUAUCAUGGUGGCCAUUUUGAAGUGCACACUUCAGUAGCAUUGGGUAUAGUCACGUGUUCUAAAACAUCUGCAGAACCUCAUCUGCAAAUUGUCAAACAAUCCCUGCUCCCUUCCUCCAGCCACCACUGUCCUUUCUCACUGAAUUUGACUUCACUAGUCUCACAUGGAUGGAGUCAGGGGCAUUUGUCUUUCCCCUGACUGGCUUGUUUCUCCUUAGCCCAGUGUCCCCAAGGCUUACCCACACUGUAGAAUAAGACAGAAUUUCUUUCCUUCUUAAGCCUGAAGAAUAUUCCAUUGUAACACAACAUGUGCUGUGUUUCCAUUCAUCUCUAGAUUGGCAGCUGUUUUGCCCUGCUCAGCUGUUGGGAUCAGAACUGCUAUAGACAUAGGCACACACAUACCUCUUUGAGACCCUGCUUUCAACUCUUGAGCAUAGAUGAUCGGAAGGGAGGUUGUUAGAUUCUAUGAUGAUUCUACUUUUAAUCCUUUAAAUAAUUUAAAGACUGAAUUUAUUUUUAAUUAUGUGUAUGAUUGAUUUUCUUUUUAAUUAUGUGUGUGGUUGAUUUUAUUUUUAAUUAUGUGUGUGAUAGAUUUUAUUUUUAAUCAUGUGUAUGUGUGUAUGUAAAGGUGGUUGUGAGCCAGCGAUGUGAGGGACAGUGUGGUGGUUUGAAUGAGAAUGGCUCUCAUAGGCUCAUAUGUUUGAAUGCUACAUUCCCAGUUGAAGGAACUGUUUGGGAAGGAUUAGAAGGUAUAGCUUUGUUGGAGGUGUGUUACUGGGGGAUAGGCUUUGAGGUUUCAAAUGCCCACACCAUUCCCAGCUAGCUCUCUCUGCCUCUGCCUUUCAGAUCAGGAUAUAAGUUCUCAGCUACUGCUCCAGUGCCACACCUGCCUGCUGCCAUACUUUCCACAAUGAUGGCCAUAGACUCUCUCUCUGGAACUUUAAGCCCCCAAAUUAAACGCUU
Peromyscus californicus insignis is the source of this 4729-nucleotide long non-coding RNA. RefSeq lists it as uncharacterized. NCBI's taxonomy places the organism in Eukaryota, Metazoa, Chordata, Mammalia, Rodentia, Cricetidae. The transcript has 3 exons. The record is from RefSeq and is a predicted model, not a curated record.